This 301-nucleotide ribosomal RNA is filed under the name uncultured bacterium. RNAcentral's name for it is "partial 16S ribosomal RNA". It matches the Rfam family "Bacterial small subunit ribosomal RNA", at positions 509 to 808 of the family's 1533-position model. The record is from RNAcentral.
CAGCAGCCGCGGGAAUACGAAGGGGGCUAGCGUUGUUCGGAUUUACUGGGCGUAAAGCGCACGUAGGCGGACUUUUAAGUCAGGGGUGAAAUCCCGGGGCUCAACCCCGGAACUGCCUUUGAUACUGGAAGUCUUGAGUAUGGUAGAGGUGAGUGGAAUUCCGAGUGUAGAGGUGAAAUUCGUAGAUAUUCGGAGGAACACCAGUGGCGAAGGCGGCUCACUGGACCAUUACUGACGCUGAGGUGCGAAAGCGUGGGGAGCAAACAGGAUUAGAGACCCCAUAGUCCCUGUCUCUUAUACA